This 565-nucleotide ribosomal RNA is filed under the name uncultured Vagococcus sp. RNAcentral's name for it is "bacterial SSU rRNA". It matches the Rfam family "Bacterial small subunit ribosomal RNA", at positions 1 to 569 of the family's 1533-position model. Lineage: Bacteria; Bacillati; Bacillota; Bacilli; Lactobacillales; Enterococcaceae. The record is from RNAcentral.
CGCCCUUAGAGUUUGAUCAUGGCUCAGGACGAACGCUGGCGGCGUGCCUAAUACAUGCAAGUCGAACGCAGCUUGCUUUGGUAAGAUGAGUGGCGAACGGGUGAGUAACACGUGGGUAACCUGCCUAUCAGAGGGGGAUAACACUUGGAAACAGGUGCUAAUACCGCAUAGAUUUCUUUCGCAUGAAAAGAGAGGAAAGACGUACGUGUCACUGAUAGAUGGACCCGCGGUGCAUUAGCUAGUUGGUGAGGUAACGGCUCACCAAGGCCAUGAUGCAUAGCCGACCUGAGAGGGUGAUCGGCCACACUGGGACUGAGACACGGCCCAGACUCCUACGGGAGGCAGCAGUAGGGAAUCUUCGGCAAUGGACGAAAGUCUGACCGAGCAACGCCGCGUGAGUGAAGAAGGUUUUCGGAUCGUAAAACUCUGUUGUUAGAGAAGAAUAGGUAGGAGUGACUUCCUGCCAUGACGGUAUCUAACCAGAAAGCCACGGCUAACUACGUGCCAGCAGCCGCGGUAAUACGUAGGUGGCAAGCGUUGUCCGGAUUUAUGGGCGUAAAGCGAG